UCCCAUUUGUCCGACUGAUGCAGUCUGCCUU
This 31-nucleotide non-coding RNA is filed under the name Homo sapiens (human). Lineage: Eukaryota; Metazoa; Chordata; Mammalia; Primates; Hominidae. The record is from RNAcentral.